UCCCCGAUAGCUCAGUUGGUAGAGCAACUGACUGUUAAUCAGUGGGUCACUGGUUCGAGCCCAGUUCGGGGAGCCA
RNAcentral lists this transfer RNA (76 nucleotides) under bacterium. RNAcentral describes it as "tRNA-Asn". It matches the Rfam family "tRNA". Rfam says of the family: Transfer RNA (tRNA) molecules are approximately 80 nucleotides in length. Their secondary structure includes four short double-helical elements and three loops (D, anti-codon, and T loops). RNAcentral also lists the same sequence under 8 other names. The record is from RNAcentral.